RNAcentral lists this ribosomal RNA (374 nucleotides) under uncultured bacterium. RNAcentral describes it as "bacterial SSU rRNA". It matches the Rfam family "Bacterial small subunit ribosomal RNA", at positions 524 to 898 of the family's 1533-position model. The record is from RNAcentral.
UACAGAGGGUGCGAGCGUUAAUCGGAGUUACUGGGCGUAAAGGGCGCGUAGGCGGUUUAAUGUGUGUGAUGUGAAAGCCCUGGGCUUAACCUGGGAAGUGCAUCGCGGACUAUUGAACUGGAGUCUGAGAGAGGGUGGCGGAAUUUCCGGUGUAGCGGUGAAAUGCGUAGAGAUCGGAAGGAACGUCAAUGGCGAAGGCAGCCACCUGGCUUAAGACUGACGCUGAGGCGCGAAAGCGUGGGGAGCGAACAGGAUUAGAUACCCUGGUAGUCCACGCUGUAAACGAUGAGAACUAGAUGUUGGAUGGGGAACCAUUCAGUAUCGAAGCUAACGCGAUAAGUUCUCCGCCUGGGAAGUACGGCCGCAAGGUUGAA